Non-coding RNA from Oncorhynchus mykiss (rainbow trout), 3025 nucleotides. The record is from RefSeq and is a predicted model, not a curated record. NCBI's taxonomy places the organism in Eukaryota, Metazoa, Chordata, Actinopteri, Salmoniformes, Salmonidae.
UAGAGGGAGGGAGGGAGAGAUGGGGCAACAGGCUAGCUCUGUGGGAGGUAGCACGGUCCCUCAGCCUCCACCGGCGUCGUGCCACACACACACACACACACAGGUGACACACACUGUUGACACACACCGCCGUCGUGCCACCCCCAGUUCAAAUACUAAUCAAAGGAAUAACUGUGGACAUUAACACUGGUGGGCUGAGAGAACACAGCUUCUUACCUGCCUGGUGUGUGAAUGACGCUGCACCACACAGAGAGACAACAUAGCCUGCUACCUGCCUGGUGUGUGAAUGACGCUGCACCACACAGAGAGACAACACAGCCUGCUACCUGCCUGGUGUGUGAAUAAACCUGAACCACACGGAGAGACAACACAGCCUGCUACCUGCCUGGUGUGUGAAUAAACCUGAACCACAGAAUGCUCUGACCAAUAAGAGAGUAUAACACAGGUUAUACCAGAUGGAUUGGUCGCUAGUAACCUUACUCAGCGUUAACAUAUACUUUAAUGGAUAUACGGUCACAACACUGAAGGUCUGCUGUUCAGCGUGGACUAGCAGCUAGCCACAUGCUAAAGUAAUGAAGGUCAUGACAGAGGAAGGUCUGCUGUUCAGCGUGGACUAGCAGCUAGCCACAUGCUAAAGUAAUGAAGGUCAUGACAGAGGAAGGUCUGCUGUUCAGCAUGGACUAGCAGCUAGCCACAUGCUAAAGUAAUGAAGGUCUGCUGUUCAGCAUGGUCUAGCAGCUAGCCACAUGCUAAAGUAAUGAAGGUCAUGACAGAGGAAGGUCUGCUGUUCAGCAUGGACUAGCAGCUAGCCACAUGCUAAAGUAAUGAAGGUCUGCUGUUCAGCAUGGACUAGCAGCUAGCCACAUGCUAAAGUAAUGAAGGUCAUGAGAGAGGAAGGUCUGCUGUUCAGCAUGGACUAGCAGCUAGCCACAUGCUAAAGUAAUGAAGGUCUGCUGUUCAGCAUGGUCUAGCAGCUAGCCACAUGCUAAAGUAAUGAAGGUCUGCUGUUCAGCAUGGACUAGCAGCUAGCCACAUGCUAAAGUAAUGAAGGUCAUGACAGAGGAAGGUCUGCUGUUCAGCAUGGACUAGCAGCUACCCACAUGCUAAAGUAAUGAAGGUCAUAACACUGAAGGUCUGCUGUUCAGCGUGGACUAGCAGCUAUCCACAUGCUAAAGUAAUGAAGGUCAUGACAGUGGAAGGUCUGCUGUUCAGCAUGGACUAGCAGCUAGCCACAUGCUAAAGUAAUGAAGGUCUGCUGUUCAGCAUGGACUAGCAGCUAGCCACAUGCUAAAGUAAUGAAGGUCUGCUGUUCAGCAUGGACUAGCAGCUAGCCACAUGCUAAAGUAAUGCAGGUCAUGACAGUGGAAGGUCUGCUGUUCAGCAUGGACUAGCAGCUAGCCACAUGCUAAAGUAAUGAAGGUCAUGACAGUGGAAGGUCUGCUGUUCAGCGUGGACUAGCAGCUAGCCACAUGCUAAAGUAAUGAAGGUCAUGACAGAGGAAGGUCUGCUGUUCAGCGUGGACUAGCAGCUAGCCACAUGCUAAAGUAUUGAAGGUCAUGACAGAGGAAGGUCUGCUGUUCAGCGUGGACUAGCAGCUAGCCACAUGCUAAAGUAAUGAAGGUCAUGACAGAGGAAGUUCUGCUGUUCAGCGUGGACUAGCAGCUAGCCACAUGCUAAAGUAAUGAAGGUCAUGACAGAGGAAGGCCUGCUGUUCAGCAUGGACUAGCAGCUAGCCACAUGCUAAAGUAAUGAAGGUCAUGACAGAGGAAGUUCUGCUGUUCAGCGUGGACUAGCAGCUAGCCACAUGCUAAAGUAAUGAAGGUCAUGACAGAGGAAGGCCUGCUGUUCAGCAUGGACUAGCGGCUAGCCACAUGCUAAAGUAAUGAAGGUCAUGACAGUGGAAGGUCUGCUAUUCAGCAUGGACUAGCAGCUACCCACAUGCUAAAGUAAUGAAGGUCAUGACAGUGGAAGGUCUGCUGUUCAGCAUGGACUAGCAGCUAGCCACAUGCUAAAGUAAUGAAGGUCAUAACACUGAAGGUCUGCUGUUCAGCGUGGACUAGCAGCUAGCCACAUGCUAAAGUAAUGAAGGUCAUGACAGAGGAAGGUCUGCUGUUCAGCGUGGACUAGCAGCUAGCCACAUGCUAAAGUAAUGAAGGUCAUGACAGAGGAAGGCCUGCUGUUCAGCAUGGACUAGCAGCUAGCCACAUGCUAAAGUAAUGAAGGUCUGCUGUUCAGCAUGGUCUAGCGGCUAGCCACAUGCUAAAGUAAUGAAGGUCAUGAGACUGGAGGUCUGCUGUUCAGCAUGGACUAUUAGCUAGCCACAUGCUAAAGUAAUGAAGGUCAUGAGACUUGAGGUCUGCUGUUCAGCGUGGACUUGCAGCUAGCCACAUGCUAAAGUAAUGGCUAAAGGAGACUUCAUCUGAACACAGUGGAUUAUAAACUAGCUGUGGUCGUCCAUUGGCACGUGGAAUACAAUGUGUGUGUGUGUGUGUGUGUGUGUGUGUGUGUGUGUGUGUGUGUGUGUGUGUGUGUGUGUGUGUGUGUAUUUCUCACCAUAGUACCAUGUGACAGAACUAAUUAACAGAACCCUUAUCUUCAUUAACCAGGAUCACACAGUUAAUACAGGAUAUCAGAGGAACACACACACACACACACACACACACACACACACACACAGGCCACACAUACACAUACACACACACGCACACACUCUACCUAGAGGAAUAGCAGAACCACCGACCAUUCUACACAGACACACACACACACACACACACACACACACACACACACACACACACACACACACACACACACACACACACACACACACACUACCUUGAGGAACAGCAGGACCGACGAGGCUUUAAUUGGGAAACCAUUGUCCCUCAGCAGCGUGAACACAGACACUCCCGUCUCUCCAUCCACUCCCAAAGGGAGAGAAUCUACACAGAGGAGAGGAAAACAUUCUCCAGGGUCUGAAUCAGAGAUGGAGAGAGAAGGAGGAAGAGGAGGGAGAGGAAGAAGA